RNAcentral lists this ribosomal RNA (484 nucleotides) under uncultured bacterium. RNAcentral's name for it is "partial 16S ribosomal RNA". It matches the Rfam family "Bacterial small subunit ribosomal RNA", at positions 30 to 507 of the family's 1533-position model. The record is from RNAcentral.
AUUGAACGCUGGCGGCAGGCCUAACACAUGCAAGUCGAGCGGAUGAAGGGAGCUUGCUCCUGGAUUCAGCGGCGGACGGGUGAGUAAUGCCUAGGAAUCUGCCUGGUAGUGGGGGAUAACGUCCGGAAACGGGCGCUAAUACCGCAUACGUCCUGAGGGAGAAAGUGGGGGAUCUUCGGACCUCACGCUAUCAGAUGAGCCUAGGUCGGAUUAGCUAGUUGGUGGGGUAAAGGCCUACCAAGGCGACGAUCCGUAACUGGUCUGAGAGGAUGAUCAGUCACACUGGAACUGAGACACGGUCCAGACUCCUACGGGAGGCAGCAGUGGGGAAUAUUGGACAAUGGGCGAAAGCCUGAUCCAGCCAUGCCGCGUGUGUGAAGAAGGUCUUCGGAUAGUAAAGCACUUUAAGUUGGGAGGAAGGGCAGUAAGUUAAUACCUUGCUGUUUUGACGUUACCAACAGAAUAAGCACCGGCUAACUUCGUG